GUCUACAGCCAUGCCACCCUGAACGUUCCCAAUCUCGUCUGAUCUUGGAAGCUAAGCAGGGUUGGACCUGGUUAGUACUUGGAUGGGAGACCACCUGGGAAUACCUGGUGCCGUAGUUG
This 119-nucleotide ribosomal RNA is filed under the name Pteropus alecto (black flying fox). Lineage: Eukaryota; Metazoa; Chordata; Mammalia; Chiroptera; Pteropodidae. The record is from RNAcentral.